Molecule: long non-coding RNA, 596 nt
Organism: Magnolia sinica
Lineage: Eukaryota; Viridiplantae; Streptophyta; Magnoliopsida; Magnoliales; Magnoliaceae
Exons: 2
Source: RefSeq, a predicted model, not a curated record
UUUUAUGUUUACUCGCUGGCAUAUGGGUAUAUGGCUAGAAGGAAACAAUCAAUGUUUUAGGAAUAUAAUCAGGCCAUUUCCCAACGUAUUUAGCAGAGCUAAAUCUCUUAUAAUAUAGAAUGGGCUUUAUCCAUAAAGAUCAUAGGUUCUCGUUUGGAAUUUUGGGGUGGUUUGUAAUUUGGUCUUUGUAAAUUUGUAUGUUUUGAGCCUUGGCUCACUUUAAAUAAUAUUAUCAUCGUUUCAAAAAAAAAAAAAAAAGGAUGGUGGACAAAAGAAUCAUCCCUGUAUAGAGCUUCAGCAUUGUGAAAAGCAGUUACAAGGUUGGUGAGCAAGUUUACAGAGGAUCGAGUUCUCUUUCGGGGAUGGGGAGAGGAUUCGUUUUUAGGAAGAUAUAUGGGUUGGAGAGAAGGCGCUUAAAGAAGAAUUUCAAAGGUGUAUCAUAUCCGUAUCAGCUCGAUACAAUACACGAUAUGGGGUUGUAUCAGUCGUAUCCUAAAAGAUUGUGCCAUAUCAGUCCUUUUCCCCCCUUUUUGAUCUCUCCUUCAUUUCUCCCCAUUUGCUUCGAAUCAUUUACGUACAUCAAAGUAGAGAUCGGG